This 426-nucleotide ribosomal RNA is filed under the name uncultured bacterium. RNAcentral describes it as "bacterial SSU rRNA". It matches the Rfam family "Bacterial small subunit ribosomal RNA", at positions 355 to 796 of the family's 1533-position model. The record is from RNAcentral.
UGGGGAAUUUUCCGCAAUGGGCGAAAGCCUGACGGAGCAACGCCGCGUGGGUGACGAAGGAUUUCGGUCUGUAAAGCCCUUUCAGUCGGGACGAGACGAAGACGGUACCGACAGAAGAAGCAUCGGCUAACUACGUGCCAGCAGCCGCGGUAAUACGUAGGAUGCAAGCGUUAUCCGGAAUUAUUGGGCGUAAAGCGAACGUAGGCGGUUUCGUAAGUCUGGGGUUAAAGAUCAAGGCUCAACCUUGGGAGUGCCCUGGAAACUACGAGACUGGAGGACGGCAGAGGAAAGUGGAAUUCCCAGUGUAGCGGUGAAAUGCGUAGAGAUUGGGAGGAACACCAGUGGCGAAAGCGACUUUCUGGGCCGUUCCUGACGCUGAGGUUCGAAAGCCAGGGGAGCAAACGGGAUUAGAUACCCGCGUAGUCC